Molecule: ribosomal RNA, 373 nt
Filed under: uncultured bacterium
Lineage: Bacteria
Description: bacterial SSU rRNA
Rfam family: Bacterial small subunit ribosomal RNA
Source: RNAcentral
GUAGGGGGCAAGCGUUGUUCGGAAUUACUGGGCGUAAAGGGCGCGUAGGCGGCACAGCAAGUCGGGAGUGAAAGCCCGGGGCUCAACCCCGGAACGGCUUUCGAAACUGCUGAGCUAGAGUGCGGAAGGGGCAAUCGGAAUUCCCAGUGUAGCGGUGAAAUGCGUAGAUAUUGGGAAGAACACCUGAGGCGAAGGCGGGUUGCUGGGCCGACACUGACGCUGAGGCGCGAAAGCCAGGGGAGCAAACGGGAUUAGAUACCCCGGUAGUCCUGGCCCUAAACGAUGGAUACUUGGUGUGUGGGGUUCUCUGAGUCCCCGCGUGCCGGAGCUAACGCGGUAAGUAUCCCGCCUGGGGAGUACGGUCGCAAGGCUG